This 467-nucleotide ribosomal RNA is filed under the name uncultured bacterium. Its description in RNAcentral is "partial 16S ribosomal RNA". It matches the Rfam family "Bacterial small subunit ribosomal RNA", at positions 28 to 507 of the family's 1533-position model. The record is from RNAcentral.
GAUGAACGCUGGCGGCGUGCUUAACACAUGCAAGUCGAACGGAAAGGCCAGUGCUUGCACUGGUGCUCGAGUGGCGAACGGGUGAGUAACACGUGGGUGAUCUGCCCUGCACUUUGGGAUAAGCCUGGGAAACUGGGUCUAAUACCAGAUAGGACCAUGCUUUGGAUGGUGUGGUGGAAAGUUUUUUCGGUGUGGGAUGAGCUUGCGGCCUAUCAGCUUGUUGGUGGGGUAAUGGCCUACCAAGGCGUCGACGGGUAGCCGGCCUGAGAGGGUGUACGGCCACAUUGGGACUGAGAUACGGCCCAGACUCCUACGGGAGGCAGCAGUGGGGAAUAUUGCACAAGGGGCGCAAGCCUGAUGCAGCGACGCCGCGGGGGGGAGGACGGCCUUCGGGUUGUAAACUCCUUUCGCAACUGACGAAGCUUUUUGUGACGGUAGGUUGAGAAGAAGCACCGGCUAACUACGUG